RNAcentral lists this ribosomal RNA (428 nucleotides) under uncultured Coriobacteriaceae bacterium. RNAcentral's name for it is "bacterial SSU rRNA". It matches the Rfam family "Bacterial small subunit ribosomal RNA", at positions 355 to 794 of the family's 1533-position model. The record is from RNAcentral. Lineage: Bacteria; Bacillati; Actinomycetota; Coriobacteriia; Coriobacteriales; Coriobacteriaceae.
UGGGGAAUCUUGCGCAAUGGGGGCAACCCUGACGCAGCGAUGCCGCGUGCGGGACGAAGGCCUUCGGGUCGUAAACCGCUUUCAGCAGGGACGAGGCCUCACGGUGACGGUACCUGCAGAAGAAGCCCCGGCUAACUACGUGCCAGCAGCCGCGGUAAUACGUAGGGGGCGAGCGUUAUCCGGAUUCAUUGGGCGUAAAGCGCUCGUAGGCGGCCCGUUAGGUCGGGAGUCAAAUCCGGGGGCUCAACCCCCGCCCGCUCCCGAUACCGGCGGACUUGAGUCUGGCAGGGGAAGGUGGAAUUCCCGGUGUAGCGGUGGAAUGCGCAGAUAUCGGGAAGAACACCGGUGGCGAAGGCGGCCUUCUGGGCCACGACUGACGCUGAGGAGCGAAAGCUGGGGGAGCGAACAGGAUUAGAUACCCUGGUAGU